Molecule: ribosomal RNA, 174 nt
Filed under: Drancourtella sp. An12
Lineage: Bacteria; Bacillati; Bacillota; Clostridia; Eubacteriales; Oscillospiraceae
Description: partial 23S ribosomal RNA
Rfam family: Bacterial large subunit ribosomal RNA
Source: RNAcentral
AAGCCGGGAAGGGAUAAACGCUGAAGGCAUCUAAGCGUGAAGCCCCCCUCAAGAUGAGAUAUCCCAUACGGAAGUAGUAAGACCCCUUGAAGACGACGAGGUAGAUAGGGCAGAGGUGGAAGUGUGGUAACACAUGGAGCUGACUGUUACUAAUAGGUCGAGGGCAUAACCAAG